RNAcentral lists this ribosomal RNA (237 nucleotides) under uncultured bacterium. RNAcentral's name for it is "partial 16S ribosomal RNA". It matches the Rfam family "Bacterial small subunit ribosomal RNA", at positions 99 to 334 of the family's 1533-position model. The record is from RNAcentral.
CGGACGGGUGAGUAACGCGUGGGCAACCUGGCCUAUACAGGGGGAUAACAGGGAGAAAUUCCUGCUAAUACCGCAUAAGACCACAGUAUCGCAUGGUACUGGGGUCAAAGGAGAGAUUCGGUAUAGGAUGGGCUCGCGUCCCAUUAGCUAGUUGGGGGUGCAACGGACCACCAAGGCGACGAUGGGUAGCCGACCUGAGAGGGUGAUCGGCCACACUGGGACUGAGACACGGCCCAG